GCGUUAAUCAAGUAGACCGUUUAUGACUUCAAAUUGUUCAUUGAAGUCCCAAUUUACAUUAUGAAUCAGUAAGAGGGUUAAACAACCACGUGAAAGAUGCAUGAAAUCAAAUAUAUUGUAGUUACACAAGGUUAAUUUUGAUAUACAUCUCCACCUAGACAGGAACAUUCAUAAACAAAAUUAUUAUAUCCAAGGUGAUUCACAAGCUAUGUUGCACCAACAGUUUGCUGGAGACAGCAUGUCAGUGUCCAACCGAACAUCGACAUGCGCUGGACGAGUCUCACAAAUACCACAUGGCAUGUCUUUUUUCAGAUCUCACAAGUUCAUGGACAUGACAAAAUGCAACAAGUGCUCUGAAAAAAUAGAGAAAAACUAAACCUACCAGCAAAUGCAAUGAAAAAUGCCAUGGUUGACAAGUGAAGUGGAAAUAACUAUCGCCGGGUGACUGUAGUGUAAGAGAGACACGGAGACACCCAAGCUCUUAGCAUUAUUUUCAUAUAGACAGACAGCACUUGAAAGUUGAAACCCUAAGGAGAAAAUUUUAUGUUUUUUAAAAAUAAAAAAUGCGCCCACAUUUUUUUCUUAAUUUUAAAAGUGGGUCAAUCAUGUAUGAAGUUUAAUGUCAAGUUUGAUUUAUAUUCAACUAGAGUUUUAAAUUAAUUGAUAAAUAGAGUCCAAUUACUGAAAAUAGAAACAAUGUAGCAUUCAAAACUUUUAAUACAUGUAACAUUGUGUUAAUACUAAAGUGUUAGGCUACUUGAGAUUGCUAACAUAUCACUCGAUGAGCCAGUGUUGGAGUUUGUAUUGUUAAUGAUAAUGAAAAAGCUGAUGGUGAUGGUGAUGGUGAUGGUGUUGAAGCAAAUGAAGUUGGAACAUUUAAGGAUUGAAGAUAAUAUCAUUUAGUAUUUUAUUUUAUUGUUAUUGUCAAGCUUGUAUUUUAAUUAUUUUAUAAUAAUGAAAUUAAUGCUGUAUUUUAUGAUUUAACUUAUGAAAAAUAUUACAUAUUUAUGUAUACACACGCACAUGCGUAUCCUAAUUUUUUGAACAGUUGUAACCGCAUAGCCAUAUCGUAUAUGAAACCGUGCUUCUUAGUUCACAAGCAUCAAAAUGGAGUAGGAAAUUUGCCUUCAUAAAUUCGAAAGUACCAAGACUAAAGUGAAAUCCUAAAAACAGCUAUGAACAAUUUAUGGAGACAAUUUCCUCUAUGAUGCGCUUGGAUUUUGGGCAAUGGGUUUUUAAGGAAUUUCUGAUCUGUAGAGUUGAGAGUUAUUCUGUAAUCAUUCUCGUUAAAUGGCUCUGUUUUCUACAUUGUGAGAAUUCACUAAUGAACCAAGCACAGUAAAUCUUUGGCGUGUUCAUGUACAUGCAUUAUACCUUUGUUAGACUCUUAUUUAUAAUCUGUUUAAAACUCAACCAAAUCAAUUUUUUAUCCACAUAUUUCAUAAGACCCAGAAGUAGUGCCCACUUAUCUACCACUCAAUUCUAUCUAUUUAUAAUUUAAACUAAUUAUAAACAACUUUCAAACAUGCCAUUACUCUUUUCAUGUGCCUUAAAGUGGAUAUUUUGCAAAAGCAUUUUUUAAGUUGUUAGAAAGCAGUAAACAAAAAUAUACGCAUGCAAAAACAUACAGAACAAAGCAACUUAGCAACCUAAAGAAAUUCAAAGACGGAUAUGAUGAAA
RNAcentral lists this long non-coding RNA (1680 nucleotides) under Olea europaea subsp. europaea. The record is from RNAcentral. Lineage: Eukaryota; Viridiplantae; Streptophyta; Magnoliopsida; Lamiales; Oleaceae.